GGGAAUUUUCCUUGCAAACCACAACCAGCAAGACUGAGAGACCUUAGAGAAGAGGAUAGAUUCAUGAAGACAUGAGCAUUAACAGAAGACAUGUCCAUUCCAUCCAAAAACAGAUGUCUGACCUCGGUUAGGUUGUGAACAAGUCCCUCCAGAGCAUGUUUGUCCAUUCUAUAUUGCAUAGAGAAAGCAGGCCAAGAGGAGAGAUCGAGUAAAACCAAUUUUGACAGGUGGGAGACUUGGGAUGGGACUUCUCCUACAAACCCUGUAUAAGAAAGGUUGAGGUAGAAUAGGCUUGUAAACUGACCGAAAUCGGAUGGAAUUUUGGAAAGAUUAAAAUCAUUGCCGGCAAGGUUGAGUUUUUGAAGGUGAGGAAGAAGGAAGAGAGUGGUAUUGGAAGGGAAGGUGCCAUAUAGGCAACUGCAGCUCAAGUCAAGGGCAAUAACAUGAGCAUUUAGGUGGUCACAAGUGACCCCAUCCCAUGAGCAGCAAUCUGUACCCUCCUUCCAUGAAUUUGUCUUGGGAUAAGAUUUAGGGCCGCAAGACGAAUAAGCAGCCUCUGUUAUGGAAAAAGAGUUCUUGAACUGGAUUAGUAAAGAGCAGGAGUGAGAUCCUGAAGAAGAAAAAGAAGCAUAAAGAUGGGGAAAGAAGAGGAAUAGGCAGAGAAAGAGACAGGGGGCCAUGUUAUGUUGGUAGAGGAAGAUGAAGGAUAGGAAUGGUAUUUAUAGGCAACAAAUAAUACCACAACAUUGGUGUUAGUCUUUUUUUUCUUUAACAUUGAAAAGUUAUGGAUGCUUUUACCAUAUAUUUUUCAUUCUCAAAAUUGGAUGCUUUUUCUUUUAUUUCAUAAAAACGUGUAUACUUUUAUAUGCUUUUUGUUUUAGCAAAAUUUUGUAUUUCAUAAAAAUGUGUAUACUUAUAUAUAUAUAUAUAGCCUCAUAAUUCAAAUCUAAAAUCUCAUUUGUUAUAAAUUUUGAUAAAUCAAAGGGUGAUAAAUUAGGCCCGUUUAAAAUAUGAGCUGGGUUUAGGCUUGAACAUUCAAAGCUCGAGCCCAGCCCGGCCCAUUUUUAAGUGUAUAAUACUUUAUAUUUUAUAAUUUAGAACAGAUUAAAAAAAUAAACUUAUAUUAAAUAUAUAAUAAUACUAUAAUGUAAACAUUAAAAUAAUGUUAAGAUGACUAUAUAAAAAUUUUCAAUAAAUAAAAAAUAUUUAAAUUAUUAAAUAUUAAAAUAAUAUAAUAUAAAUAUUUAAAAAAAAACUAAAAAUUAUAUGGGCAUGCCUAAAAUGAGCUUGGGUUAGUCUUUUGCAAAUAUGGAUGAGUUUAGGCAAAAUUUUAAGCUCAUAUUUUGGGCCGAGCCGAGCUUGAGCAAGCAUAAAGUACGUUAAUAUCAUGCUUAGGCCUGACCUGGCCAGGCUCAUGAGCACCUCUAUAGUUGAGUGACUAGAAUAGAACUAAAGGAAUAGUUUAGUGAUUAUUUUUGUAAUUGACCCAUAUGAAAUUUAGGUUAAUUUCUGCUAUUAGUCCUUAUACUUUGCAAAAGUUGUGGACUUAAUCUUUAUACUUUAAUUUGGUCAUUUUUAGUUCAUCUACUUUUCAAAUUUUAAAAUUUUAGUCAUCACCAAACAAUAACCGUUAAAUUUAUUAAGUUUUGUUAUUUUCAAAAAAUGAUGCGACAAAUAUAUUAGGCUUAACUCAUAAAUCGGUAUCUAAAUUAUACUCAUUUUCCCAUGUUGGUACCUAAACUUAUUUUUGGUCACAAGUGGUACAUAAACUACUUUUUUUCCCAAGUUACUACUGCCAUUAGUCAAAAGUCUAUUUUAGAAAUAGGCUUAACCCAUAAAUUGGUACCUAGACUAAAAUUUGGUACCUCCGUCAUUAGUCAAACCGUUCAGUUUAUAUGAAAAAAAAAUUAACCAAUUAAAAAUUGACAUGUAGUAAAAAAAACUAUUAUUAUUUAUAUAAAUAUAAAUGGAGAGAACUAGUUCAACCGAUUUGUUUUUGUUCGCAAGUCAAUCGAUUCAAACCCUAUUUCCGGACCGAUUUCCUAUCCAACUAGUUGAAUCAAUCUGUUUUUGAAAACACUAGUUUCCCUCAGGUCAGAGAAGUAGGUGGUGAAAUUCAAAACCAAAAUUAAUCACCAACGUUUCGACCUCAAGUGGGCCAAUUUCAAACAUUAUCGGCAUUGUCAAACAUUAUAAAGGAAUAAGAAAGAAAAAUAUAAAAAAUUAAUUAAUUAAUAAUUAUUUUUAAAAGUUUAUAUGACAUACAAUCUAUUAUUUGUUGAAAUCUUUUUAGCCGAUAUAACAUUUUGGUGUAAAAUGAGUAAUGGAAGAAUAGUUUUAGUAAUACUUAUGGCCAAAAUAAAAAUUAGGUACCUUGGGAAAAGGAGCAUUGUUUAGGUAUUAAUUAUUAUUAAUAUUAUUUGAAUCAAGACUAAAAUUUCAAAUUUCAAAAAGUAAAUGGUUUAAAAUUGACCAAUUCAAAAAAUACAAUGACUAAAAUUGAUCAAAUUAAGGUAUAAGGACUAAAUCCAUCAUUUUCGUAAAGUACAGAGACUAAUAGCAGAAUUUAACCUAAAUUUUAAUAUAAAUAAAAUCCAAAGUAGAAUAUAUUUUUUGAUAACUACAAUACAUUUAUGAGCAAGGAAAAAAGGAAGACUUACAAAGAUAAACACAGUAAGAAUGAAAAGAAUAUGGGGAUAAUUUACACAAAUUCCUUCAAAAACCAUAGCUUUUGGAGGUGAAAUUUAAUCAAAGGAAGAAUGAAAGCUCAGGUUUGGGAGUAAAUGAUAACAUACUUUCACCAAAAAGUUCAAAUAAUGAUGCUAACAAGUUCCCCGGGUCUGUGUCUUCCUUCCAAGCCUGAGCUAGAACGGUUGAUGUCUUUGAAACUCGACCCCCAACCUCCCUUCCUAGCAUGUUUUCGUUUGAUAACGGCCGUGACAUUGAUGAUACACCGAUAUUGGAACCUCCUACGGUGGUAGAAAAGCCGCUAACUGCCCCUUGUAAAUCAGUUUGAAUGGAAUUUAUUGGCAUCAUACCUAUUGCACUCUCAGUUGCUAUUUUCUUCGCAGGUGGUUGCUGCUGCAUCAAGGUGUCCGUGCUUGCUUUUCGUUUAUCUUGAUUGAUCAGAAAAAGGAAUAUCGUAAAGGGGGAGAAGAGACUUGUGGAUUAAGUGUAAAUAUGAUGGUUCGAAGAAAUCAUACUUGUCGCAACUUUGUUGUUGCUUUUCCAGAUGGGACGAGUUGGGGGUGCUAGAAAACUGGGGAACAUUUUAAGCCGAUCAUACAUGCACAGUCCAGCUGCACGCUGUUAGUGGAAAUUUUAUGCAGUGUUGUUAGUUCUACAGCAAAUAAAUGAAACGAUGCUCAUAAACUGGUACCAAAUUUGAUGUUAAACUUACCAGCAGGGCCCCAUAAACACACCAGGCCUCGUGUCUUUUUAUUUCAGGUUCAAGAAGCUGCAAAUACGCUUCAAAGCAAACAUGAGAGGGAAAUUAUUCAAAUUCCGUGCAACCUGAGAUAAAUGUGGCAAAAAUGUAAGCUUGAGAUAACCAACCAAAAGUUCUUUGCAACACACAUAUAUAAUGAGGUAUCAAAGAUCUUUAAGACAACCUCAUCCGCAAUGAAAUAUGUAAAAUAAGGAACUAAAGGAUGUAAUCCCGAGUCUGUUGCCAAACUCAGUAAUGCUUGUUUAAAGAGAACUGAGACUGAUUUAUUCAUGGUAAUGUCCACGAUCUUGUCAAAGUAAAGCUGCAUGACAACCAAAUUAGUCUUUUAAUAACAUUCUGUGCAAAAUGUAUUUUAACAUAAAAAUGUUGCUGAAGAUGUACAACAUACUUGAAGCUCUCUAGAUAAUACAUGCUUAACAGGUAAUUUGACAUCAACGGAAAGCCCAUCUUCUUUGUAUUCAGCCUUUUUACCAUCAGAAGGUGCUGCAUGGAAAGCAAACUACCAAUUCCAUGUAGAAAUGAAGAUAAGUCGUAUUAGAUUAAAGUGAUAAAACCAGAAAAGAACAUGAACCAUGAGAGUAUUCAACACAAAUAGCUUCGAGAAAAUAUUUAGGUUAGCUAAGACGGUACCUUCAAUUGAAGCAUUUUCGGGAAUUGCUGGUUGAAUGCCUUCAAUCGCAAGCCAGUGGGAUGUAACAGAUGUAUCAAGUGGUGCUUUUGGUAAAGGUGACUCAAGAACCUACAUACAUAAGGCAACAUAGGAAUUUAAGUGAAGACUUAUUUAAUAAGGCAACAUACAACAGAACCUCGAAUAUUGUUGAUCAGUUCUUACUUCUUUAAACUCCACAUCUUUGUCAUCAAUGUAGAACAAAUCAUUAUGCUUCUUGAAUCGUAGUGCAUCACGAGAGGCAAAUCCACAUAUCGGCUGAUGCCAGAGAAACACAUAACACAAGCCAAUUAACCAAAAUGCAAAAUCUAAAGCAGCAGGUUAAACUUACUACGAUUGGAUUGCAUCAUUUUAACCAGCGUUUUUGGAUUGCAUCAUUUCGAGUUUUGUCGUUCGGGUUUGACAAUUAAUUCAAAUCAUUUUAAGAUCAUGUCAUUUUGGAUUCAAAUUAUCACUUCUUUAUAAUCAAAUCGAGUUGCGUUAAGUUUAAAUUCAAAUUAAUUCAGUUUUACUACUUACUAAAACUUAUGUUUCUCAAAAUAAUUUUUUCAAAUUAAAAUUUAUUAAUUAUUUAAAUUAAGAUGUUAUUUUUUUAUUCUUUAUAUAUGUUUUACAAUUCGUGUUCAAGAUCGGUGGAUACCGCACACAACAUUAUUAUCUCCAACGUCUGAAUACGCAUUAUCUCCUUGAGAAUGUAAUAUGAUUUGCCACUACGCCAAACACUUGUUGGUAUCUAAAAUGGAUAAAAACACAUUUCUCGUCCCUCUCAAUUUCUAUAUUGAACAAAUUGAUUCCUCUCAGAAAAUUAGAGCAAUUUAAUCAUUAUCAAUUUUGAAUGGGAGCAACUAAGAACAAUUAAUCAUUGUGUUAAUACUUUCUGUAAAUUGUAUAUAUUUUUUAUUGAUAUAAUAACAAAAUAAGCUCUCGAUGUUUAUAUAUUAUAUGUAAAUGUUAAUAGAAUAUGUAAUUGUUGCGGGAUAAAUUUGUUAAAUCAAGAUCAAAUUAACAGAAUAUGUAAACAAGUUUAUAAACUUGUUAUUAUACCAAUAAAAAUAUGUACAAUUGAUGGAAAAUAUUGACAUUGUGAUUAAUUGUUCUUAGUUGCUCACUUUCGAAAUUAACAAAGAUUAAAUUGCUUUAAUUUUUUUUAAAAUGGACCAAUUUACUUAAUAUCAAAAUUGAGAGGGACUAAAGAGGGUUUUUACCAUCUAAAAUGUUAUCUAAUACAAGAAAAACUUAACAACUAUUUUUUAAUUAUGAAAAGGUAAACUACAUAAUUAGCCACUGAACUAUGGGUAAAUCUUCGUUUUGGUCACUUAACGAAAAAAGUUACAAUUUGGUCACCCUAUUGUUAAAUGACACUUUGUAGUUGCUAUAAUAACAAUUCUAGUAUUUUGUUUUUAUAAUUUUUUUUGCCAAUUUAAAAAAUAUAAACUUCUGUAUAAAAAUUAUAAAAAAAACUCAAAAUUAUUUUUAAAAAAUAUAAACUUCUAUAUAAAAAUUCUAGAAAAAUAAAAUCUCGAAUAUGUUGUUGUUGAAGAACUAAUAUGUAUGGGAAAUAAAAAAAAUUAUCAUUCAAUAGAAUCCCAUAACAAAUUAAAAACAGAACAAAACAAAAAAAAGGUUAGAUCAUUAUACGCUUCCUCAAUGUUUUUUGCAACCAAAUUAGUAAAAUUUUCAAGUUGAGUUUCAUGCCCUUGAAGAACAUCCGUAACUAUAUUACAAAAGCUUACAAAAUCAACUUUGAUGCCAUUUUUCUAGCAAAAAUAUAAAAUAUACCACAAAAUUUUCUUUUUCAAACUCAAUUCGAAUUUUCAAUUCAUUUAAAUUUAUUUUUAAAAACCCAAAUUAUAAAAGCAGAUUAUAUACAGAUAAUUUUACUUAAUCUUUUUUUUUUUUACUUUUUUCUAUGUUUUCUAAAAGAAUGGAUAUUAGAUAUUUCUUUACAAAUAAUACAAAGAAAAUUUGGAGGGUUUAAAAAUAAUAUUUCCCUCAUUUUCUCUCACUUUAUUUAUAUUUGAAAUUUUUAUCUACUUUCAUUUAAUUUUUAAUUUUUAGAAUUUUGUAAAAUUUAAAAAGAAUUUCACUUUUGUAAUCAUUUUAUAUAAUUAGAGUUAAAUUGACAGAAAGUAUAAAAAUUGAGGAUAAAAAUUAUUAUUAUACCAACUAAAAAGUGUCACUUAAUAGUCAGGUGACCAAAAAAGUUGUAAACUAUAAAAAUAGUCACCCAACUAUUAAAAUUUCCAAUUUAGUUGCUAAACUUUUUGAAAUUAAAUAUUUUAAUCACUUUCCCUUUAGUUGUCGUUAGAUGAGUGACGGAAAGCUGAUGUGGGUUUUUUUUAAUUGAUUUAAUAACAAAUUUAACCUCUAAUAUUUACCAAUGCAACUUUUCACCAUAGGAAAAACUUUCUAACAGACUACUAAACAAGAAAUUAUGAAGACACAGCAGAAAUGCUUUAACUUCAUUUGAACCAACUAGAUCCUUCUUCAUCCAUUGAUGCGAUUGCUAUAUUUCGGCUUUCUUCUUCGCCUCUUCUCAUGUUGGUCUUCAGCCAAAUUCACGAACCUUUUCGCCUUACCGGUUUGGAAAACAACACAUCCCAUGGCCAUUCCACAUGUUGGAAAAGGAUUACCCCUACCGUUAUAUUUUGUCUUCUCUCAUCAAUGAUAUUGCGAUACCCAAAGUUUGGUAUCGCGAUAUCUACAACAGUCUUGGGGAUCCUUGGGAGUUUUGGGUAUCGCGAUAUCUUAUGACCGGUAUCACGACAACACUGUUGAUGGCUCAAUCUUCCUUGUUUUUAACAUUGUUAUGGGUAUUACGACUUUCAUGCUUUGAUCUGCGAUACCCUCUUUCUAGGUAACAUUUUCGCUCCUUCCAGGCCACCAUGGGCUCUCUGCAUCACUCAUCAACCUCAUUAGAUUCCCGGAGUGCCAUUUGGCCAUCUUAGGUCUUAAAAUAGCAUCAAAAUGCACACUAAUCAUUUAUUAAUAUAAAGAACUAAAACAAAAUAAAAACGCAACAAAGAUAUCUAAAUUGCUCGAAAAUAAACUUUUAAGUGUGAUGGAGAGCCUAAUUUGACAUAUCAAUUUAUAGCAAAUCAUAAACAUUAUUUGCGGAACUUGUUAAAAUUUCAGAUUUCUUUAUUAGUUUUCUUUCAAUAUUUUGUACGGUUCAUUUGUAGUAAUAUAUUGUGCAGAUCAUAGGCUAAAUUGCUUUAUUAGUUUUCUAUUGUUGAUCUUUAUUAUUAUUAUUAUUAUUAUUAACACUACUUCCUUUUUACCAUAUAAUUUUUAUUCAUAAAAAUGAAGAGUUGAUUUACCCAAAAUUUGUAUUUCAUUUGAACUCCCUAAAGAAUGAAGAACUGAAAUAAUUAGAAAUUAUUUUGACUUGCUCUUGCUUCCUUUCUAUGUAUGAAUGUGGAAAUUGGCAUAAUGCCAACUUAUUUUCCACGCAGAAGAAGAAAAUGGUGCUCUAUUCACUCCCUUUAACUCAGCAACUUUGUAAUCAUUCUAUAUAAUCAGAGUCAAAUUGACAAAAAUUAGUAUAAAAAUUGAGGAAUCAAAUUAUUAUUAUGCCAACUAAAAAGUGUCACUUAAUAGUCAGGUCACCAAAAAUGUUGUAAACUAUAAAAAUAGUCACCCAACUAUUAAAUUUUCCAAUUUAGUUGCUAAACUUUUUGAAAUUAAAUAUUUUAAUCACUCUCCCUUUAGUUGUCGUUAGAUGAGUGACGGAAAGCUGAUGUGGGUUUUUUUAUUGAUCUAAUAACAAAUUUAACCUCUAAUAUUUACACAUAGGAAAAAAAUUGAAAGACUUCAAAACAAGAAAUUAUGAAGAUACAACAUCAGCACUUGAACAUCAUUUCCACUAACUAGAUCCUUCUUCGUCCAUUGCUGCGACUGCCAUCCUUUGACUUUCUUCUUCGCUUCUUCUCAUGUUGGAUUUCAACCAAAUUCACCAACCAUUUCGGCUUACCAGUUUGGAAAACAACAUAUCCCACGGACAUUCCCAACACCACUCCGCAUCCAUAACCUAUCAACACCACUUUCCAACCAAAAGUAAUGUUUGAUUUUGAGCCAUCUUUUUCAAGCACAUUUGGAGGUGCUGGCUCAAUGAUGUUGCAACCUUUCGAGACCGGAAAUCCACAUAAUCCCCUGUUCCCUUCAUAUGAAUCAUUUCCAAAUGUGUUGAACUGUUUGCCUUGAGGAAUCUGACCAUGGAGUUGAUUUUCAGAAACAUUGAAGGACGAAAGAAAUGGCAGAUCUGCCAAUCUAAUUGGAAUCGUCCCAGACAACCUGUUUGAAGAUAGGUCCAACCAUUCAAGAUUUGUCAAAUUCCCUAUUGAGGUGGGGAUACCACCAUUAAGGUUAUUAUGAGAAAGGUUGAGCCCUUUCAGUAAGUUAAGCUUCCCAAUAACCUUUGGAAUACCCCCUUCAAACUGAUUGUUUGAUAGAUCAAUGAUCAUCCACAUGGUGAAAAUUUUCACCAAUUCCAUAUCUUGUCCUUUCAUAACAAUUCCAAUGGAAUAGGUAUAGAAGCCACUACCUCGAGGAUCAUUCACCCCCAUGUACGACACUGUACUACCAAUCUUCUCUAGAUUUAUGAUAGCCUUGAAGCUGUUGAUGUAUCUCACAGGUAGGGGUCCAGAAAAAUAAUUACUCGAGAGAUCAAAAAUUUGGAUUUUAGAGAAAAAAAGGCUAGACUUGGAGCUAUUGACACAUAAGGAACCAUGCAUAUGAUUUGACUUCAAUACAAGAACUUGCAAAAAUGGAAGACUUCCCAACCAAUGAGGAAAUGUAUCAUUGAUCUUGUUGUUACCAAGAUCUAGCACUUCCAGACCAAUACAAUUAAGGAUGGAUGGUGUCAAAGGCCCUUCUAACAGAUUUCCGUUUAAGUUGAAAUUAGUCAACUGGCAUCCCUCUGCAAAUGUUGGAGGAAUCGUCCCAUAAAACUUGUUCUUCUUCAGAUUCAAGAUUUCAAGGCUGUUGCUCAAAUUUCCAAAACAUUGCGGAAUUGUUCCACUCAAGUUAUUGUGGGACAAAUCAAGAAUUCCAAGACAUUGCGGAAUUGUUCCACUCAAGUUAUUGUGGGACAAAUCAAGAAUUCCAAGAGAAGUGACAUUGCAGAUUAAAGAAGAGACCUCUCCAUUGAAACUAUUAUUUGAGAUUAGAAAGACAUUGAUGGUCGAAGCUGGAAUCGGAAGAUUUCCACGGAUCAAAUUGGAGCUUAAGUCAAGAAAUUCAAUAUUCUUCCAUUGAAAGUGCUCAACUUCUGUCAAAGAGUUGUGGGAUACAUUUAAGUAAGUCAAAGAGCCAUUUCCCACCUCUUGCAUCCACUGUGGAAUCUUGCCUUCAAUUUUGUUGCAAGAGAGGUCUAACCAUUUCAAACUUUUAAGCCCCUUUAAAAAUUGGGGGAAUUCACUAAGAUUGCAAGAUGACAAAAAUAAGCUUGUAAGAUUAACAGUAGAAGUAGUAUUAGAUGUUAAGGAUAGGCUGUUAUAUGAAAGGUCAAGAUCUUCGAGAUUUGGAAGGUUUGAGAACAUGCGAAACUCUAUGACACCACUAAGAUUAUUUGAGGAUAAGCUGAGAAGGGUAAGAUUGAGAAGUUGGAAUAUUGAAGAUGGAAGAGGACCUUGGAGUUUAUUAUUGUCUAGAUAUAAAUAUUCUAGUGAUUUGGAUUGGAAUUCUUUGAUAAGCCCACUGAAUUGAUUUUGAGAGAGAUAUAUUCUCUUUAAGGAGGGAGCAGUAUGGAACCAUGACGGAGGUGUUCCAUUGAGUAAAUUGUUAGUUAAGUCUAAAUAUAUUAGAUUAGGAAAAGCGGUUACCUCAUCUGGAAUGGAACCGUUUAAUGAAUUUUCAGAUAUUCUCAAGCUUUCCAACUGCGUUAGGUUUAGAAUUGACGAUGGAAUUUGUCCACUCAAUUGGUUCUGCGACAAGUCUAAAAGAGUGAGUUGCAAGUGGUUCCCCAAUGAUCUUGGAAUUUGUCCACUCAAUUGGUUCCCCGACAAGUCUAAAUGAGUGAGUUGCAAGAGGUUCCCCAGUGAUCUUGGAACCGUUCCUGAUAAGUUGGAAUUGGAGAGAUCUAAAAACUUCAAUGACACAAGAUUCCCCAUCGAGUCAGGCAAUCCUCCAAAAAAAUUUGCGCCUCCAGUAAACAAGUACCCCGAUUUUCUGAUUGAGACAGAAGAAAAAAAACUUCCUGAUAGAUCUAAGUACUUUAAGGCCUGUAGAUUAUCAACUGAAUCAAUGAAUUCUGUAGAGAAGGGCAUGAACGACAGAUCCAAAUGUUCAAGAUUGCUGCUCCGAUUCAACUUCAAAGGAUCAAGACUGAGGAUUGGGUUGCUUCCCAAGUUGAGGAGAUUGAGGUUUGGCAAUGUUUUUUGGGAAUUUUCCUUGCAAAUCACAAUUAGCAAGACUUAGAGACCUUAGAGAAGAGGAUAGAUUCCUGAAGACAUGAGCAUUAACAGAAGACAUGUCCAUUCCAUCCAAAAACAGAUGUCUGACCUCGGUUAGGUUGUGAACAAGUCCUCUCAGAGCAUGUUUCUCAAUUGUAAAUUGCUCAUGGCCAUUAAUCAAAGAGAGAUCAAGUGAAACCAAUUUUGACAGGUGGGAGACUUGGGAUGGGAGUUCUCCUGCAAACCCUGUACGAGAAAGGUUGAGGUAGAAUAGGCUUGUAAACCGACCGAACUCGGAUGGAAAUUUGGAAAGAUUAAAAUCAUUGUAGGCAAGGUUGAGUUUUUGAAGGUGAGGAAGAAGGAAGAGAGUGGUAUUGGAAGGGAAGUUGCCAUAUAGGCAACUGCAGCUCAAGUCAAGGGCAAUAACAUGAGCAUUUAGGUGGUCACAAGUGACCCCAUCCCAUGAGCAGCAAUCUGUACCCUCCUUCCAUGAAUUGGUCUUGGGAUAAGAUUUAGGGCCAUCAAAACUACCGCAAUCAAAAAAAGUAGCCUCUGUUAUGGAAAAAGAGUCCUUAAACUGGAUUAGUGAAGAGCAGGAGUGAGAUCCUGAAGAAGAAAAAGAAGCAUAAAGAUGGGGAAAGAAGAGGAAGAGGCAGAGAAAGAGAUAGGGGGCCAUGUUAUGUUGGUAGAGGAAGAUGAAGGAUAGGAAUGGUAUAUAUAGGCAACAAAUAAUACCACAACAUUGGUGUUACAGUCUUUUUCUCUUUUACAUUGAAAAGUUACGGAUAUUAGAUUUUCAAAAUUUUUGUAUUUAUCAACAACCACUUAGUCUUCCUUUUACCAUUUAUUUUUCAUUCUUAAAAUUGGAUGCUUUUUCUUUUAGCAAAAUCUUGUAUUUCAUUAAAAUGUGUAUACUCAUAAUUAAAAUCUAAAAUCUCAUUUGUUAUAAAUUCUGAUAAAUUUAUUUGGGAAUAAUUAUUUUUCUUUCGUUAAUUAUUUCUCUUUUAAUCAAGUAAAAAUUAAAAAUUAAAAAGACAUAAUGAUUUAUUUAGCAUUUUUUAACUUUACAAACGAAAAGUCAUUUUAACUUCUCAUUUUUUUUUAUCUCUUUUAGCUUUAAAACAAAAAGACAUAAUGAUAUAUUUUGAUUUUUGCUCAUCUAAAAAAUCAAAGGGUGAGAGAGGGGAUUAAAAAUAUUUUUUAAAUAUAUAUUAAAAUUUUUAGAAUUAGAACUAAAUUGCUAAUUUUUGAAAAUAUUAAGGGUUAAAUUUAUUAAUUUUUUUAGAAUUUGAACUAAAAUGACAGGUUUUGUUAACAUUUAGGGCUAAAUUUGUUGAUUUUUUUUAUAUCUAGGAUCAAAUUGAUAGAAUAUGUAAACAUUGGAGGGCUAAAUUUGUUAUUAGACUAAUAAAAAAAGCCCACAUCAGCUUUCCGUCACUCAUUUAACAACCUAAUAGGAGAGUGACUAAAAUAUUUACUUUCGAAAAGGUUAACAACUAAAUCGAAAAAAUUAAUAGUUGAGUAAACUUGUUCAUGAGUUGGGCUACUUGCCAAGGCCCAAGUGCCGUCCGAAAUUUGGGAGGGUCUGGAUAAAAAUAUUAGGCCCGAAAAUUGAGUUUGGGUAAAACAUUAGGCCCGUUUAAAAUAUGGGCUAAGUUCAGGCUUGAACAUUCAAAGCCUGAGCCCAGCCCGGCCCGUUUUUAAGUGUAUAAUACUUUAUAUUAUAUAAUUUAGAACAGAUUAAAAAAAUAAACUUAUACUAAAUAGAUAAUAAUACUAUAAUGUAAACAUUAAAAUAAUGUUAAAAUGACUAUAUAAAAAUUUUUAAUAAAUAAAAAAUGUUUAAAUUAUUAAAUAUUAAAAUAACAUAAUAUAAAUAUUUUAAAAAAAACUAAAAAUUAUAUGGGCAUGCCUAAAAUGAGCUUGGGUUAGUCUUUUGCAAAUAUGGAUGAGUUUAGGUGAAAUUUUAAGCUCAUAUUUCGGGCCGAGCUAAGCUUGAGCAAGCAUAAAGUACGUUAAUAUCAUGCUUAGGCCUGACCUGGUCCAGCUCAUGAGCAUCUCUAUAGUUGAGUGACUAGAAUAGAACCAAAGGAAUAGUUUAGUGAUUAUUUUUGUAAUUGACCCAUAUGAAAUUUAGGUUAAUUUCUGCUAUUAGUCCUCGCACUUUGCAAAAGUUGUGGACUUAAUCUUCAUACUUUAAUUUGGUCAUUUUUAGUGGAGAUCAAAAUGGUAUAAUACCGACAGUGGGAACCUUACAACAUUUGAAAAAGUUAUGCCUAAUUGUGUAGUAAACAACACUUUAAAAAUGUAGUCCCUAUAUUCAAACUUAUGCCGUAAAAGUUGAAUAAUAGUAUCUAAGAAACAAAUUUUCCACCAGACUGGAAAUUUUGUAUUGCUUGGAAUUAAUUGACUCUCAUCUUCUGUUACUAGCUUCAAAAAUAUUGUAUUGCUUUAAAUUCAAACAAGAAAUAGGGGAAAUUUUUACAUGGAAACAAAUUUUGCUAUUUAAAUUUCCCAAUUCUUUACUCAAAGUUGGUUCUAAAUUAAAUUUAGAAAAAGAAAAGAGGUUUAAGGGUGCAAAAAGCCCUCAAACUUUUUCAAAACUAGCAACUAAACCCCUGCUCUUAUAUAAAAAUUGUAAAAAAAAUUGUAAAAUUAUUUAAAAAUUAAUAAAAAAUUAAAAAAAUUAAAAAUUAUUAAAAAUAUAUAAAAAUUGUAAAAUUUUAUAAAAAAUUGUAAAAUUUUAUAAAAAAGUUUAAAAAAUUUUAAAAUAUAUAGAAAUAUAAAAUUUUAUAAAAUCAUAAGAAAAUUAUACAAAAUGUAAAAAAAUAAAUUUGUAAAAAAAUUAUAAAAAUUAUUGUACCAAAAGAAAUAUUUUAUAAUUUUUCCAUAACUUUUAUUGAUUUUUACUUUUUAUCUGUUUUCACUACAUGUCACGAUGAGUUGCGACACAUAAUGACUUUAAUUGAAAAAACUAGAGGUCGUUAACUUUAACGAUCAAUAGUUAAAGUUAAUCGUUAAAAGGACUUUUUGAUGGAUUUUAUAUAUUUUUAUGAUUUUUAUAAAAUUUUAUAAUUUUUUUUAUUUUUUGACGAUUUUUCUAAAAAAAUUUCUAAUUUUAAUAAGUUUUUAAAUUUGUAUUAAAAUUUAAUAAUUUUUCUAAAAUUUUUUAUUUUUAUGAUUUUUUUUCUAAUUUUUAAUAAGAGCAGGGGCUUAAUUGCUUUUUUGAAAAAAAUUUAAGGCCUUUUUGAUGCAUUAUGAAAGUUCAAGUACCCAAUUGAGUGGGAAAAAACUAAAGGCUUAAUUGUUUCUUUGAAAAAAAAAAUUAAGGUCUUUUUGAUGCAUUAUGAAAGUUCAAGUACCCAAUUGAGCAGAAAAAGUUAGGGAUUUAAUUGCUUUUCCGCUGGAAAUUAAGUUCUAAUCUUUUCCGCAUUCAACCUAAAAGCAAAGCAUAUCGAAAAUUGGAUCAUGUAAAAAAAAAAAGUAGCCACACACAUUGGUCAAACAUAGGCAUGCUUAAUGAUCCACACGUAAUUAAUCUAUGUAUUCUGCAUAUAACAUGCAUGCUCGCACCAUUUGUUUUGCAUGUGUGAAAUAGCAUGAAAAUGAUAUACACUUGAUUUGAAGAAUAGAUCCAAGUUUAUAACUAAAAAAUCAGACAUCUGAAAUUCAUAAAAACGAAUAUGCAUGUAUAAGUCCAAAAGAAAAGAAAUCUUCACCUUUUGCAUAUUGAUGCCACUAGCUUUGCUGCGAAGUUUCUAAGUUCCCAAUGAUUGUCGGUGAAUUUAUUUCCUAACCUUUUUGCAACGAGGCAGGUAAUAAUAGAAGGCAUCAACUGGUGUAACUGAAGAACAUUUUAAAAAAUCAGAUAGGUGGAAAAUAAACCACUAGCAUAUUUGCGUUAGUUCGUGUACUUCUAAAUCAUUGAAAUAAUAAACUCACAUAAGGUUCUAUGAGUAAGUGUUCAUUCUGGAGAAGACUCCGGGCAACACGCAUCAAAGCAAACAUGUGGCAAAAAUGUAAGCUUGAGAUAACCAACCAAAAGUUCUUUGCAACAGACAUAUAUAAUGAGGUAUGAAAGAUCUUUAAGACAACCUCAUCCGCAAUGAAAUAUGUAAAAUAAGGAACUAAAGGAUGUGAUCCUUUUUUAUGCAUUAUGAAAGUUCAAGUACCCAAUUGAGCAGAAAAAAAUAGGGAUUUAAUUGCUUUUUUUAAGAAGUGUAAAGAUAUUUUUGAUACAUUUUAAAAGUUUAAAUGCUCAAUUAAGUGUAAAAAAAAAAAGAGGGACUUAAAUUUUUAUUUUUAUUUUUGAAAAUUUUGAAGGGUUUUUAUGCCCUUAAGCUAAUAAAAAGAACAUGUAUUAAUUUUGAUUAUAAUUUCAAUAAUGAUUUCAAUAUAUCGUUAAUUUUAAAAAAAAGGAAAUGCAACUUAGUUUUUUUAAAAAAAAUUAAAGAACAUGGACAACUUGAUGAUUAAAUAAAAAAAAUGUAAAGCCAAAAAUCUAGAUUAGAAUUGUAUUCAAAAUAAUAAAUAGAAUGCAUGUGUGCAAAAAGAACUCCAUUAGUAAUGUCGAAUUUCAAAGACAAAGGAGGAUGCUGUUUUUGUCGUGACAUAACAUAAAUAGUUGACUACGUGGGUGGCCACAUACAAUGCUUCAAAGGUUAAGAUAUAAUGGAAAACAAACUUUUCUUGUCGUCAAUGGUCAAUGUUAUGACCGAACAAAGUUUGGUCAAUUUCAAAGGUUAUAUUUGUCGUUUGGUAGACGAGGUGGGCGUUGCCACUGUGAAUAAUAAUAAUAAUAUCCAUACACUACAAUCCCCACCUUUGGGCCAAAAUAAUAAAACCCAAUUAAUAUGAAAGGGAGAGUUCAUACCCACUAAAAGAACACACUCCCUAUAAACCACCUCUAAUCCUGCUAAUAGUACAAUUUAACUGCACCUCCUUGGUAGUAAAAAAGUACGAAGCACAGAAUGAAAGCCCUAUGUUUCCACAUAAGUUCACACGACACGACAAUAACGAGUAGUGGAUAGUUAAUAUAAAUAAGCAGGAGGCCCCAGUUCUCAAUUGCAGACUGCAAUGCAGUGCAAUAGUUGUCACAUCUCAAACCCCUUCUUCCUCUUCUUCUUCUUCUGACACAUCACUCUCCACCAAUCCCAGAUGAUUUGGCUUUUGCCUUGUCUGAUUUGGAACCCAGUUCUCAAUUGGGUUUUUUUGGCUGCUAAGGGAAGUUGCCAUAUAGCCAACUGCAGCUCAAGUCAAGAGCAAUAACAUGAGCAUUUAGGUGGUCACAAGUGACCCCAUCCCAUGAGCAGCA
This 15821-nucleotide long non-coding RNA is filed under the name Gossypium barbadense (sea-island cotton). Its description in RNAcentral is "long non-coding RNA (GBAR_LNC016767)". Lineage: Eukaryota; Viridiplantae; Streptophyta; Magnoliopsida; Malvales; Malvaceae. The record is from RNAcentral.